AAUGCACAUGUAGUUGGGAAUGGGAGAUCUGCAGUUGCUGCCCCUGCGCCAUAUCCAAGGAUGCCAAAUAAUGACAUGGAAACACAAAUCCAUAUUAUUAAACAAGAUGCAUACUGCUCAGUUUUGCGGGCCUUCAAGGCUCAUUCCGAUGCCAUUUCUUAGUAGGAGAAGGAAAGUUUGAAAACGGAACUAGGGAAAGAGCUGCGGGUGUCAGACGAGGAAUAUAGGGAGCUUCUAUCCAGGGUGAACAGUGAUUAUAUGAUUUGUAGAAUAAGGGUCGCAGGGAGUGGAGAACGGCAAAUGGGGUAAACAGGCAUGCUUAGCUCUUCACAACCUGUUCAUGAAUCUGUACCUAGCCCAACUGUUUCAGCAUCGCAUAAGAAACAGAUAACAGAACAGUCAGUGUCGAAUUAUCUGUUGAUGCACCAUCUCCAACCUUGCAUCCUAACAUGCAGCCAUCUUCAUAAAAUUUCAGAAGAGGCCAACUAGGAUCCUGACCCAAAGAGACAAAACUAACUUUGCCAUACCCUUUCCUGCUCCUCUAGGAAGACCUCAGGUCGCCAAUCGUAGUACAUGAGGCACUUUUGGUGCUAAUGACCCUUCUGAAAAUGAUAAUUAUGGGAAUAUUGGGAAAAGAGUAUGGACAAGAUGGCCGGAAGAUAACAAUUUCUAUGAGGCAAUUAUAACAGACUUCAAAAAGGGUCGGCAUGGUUUAGUUUAUGUAUGAACGCCUAACGAAGCAUGGAAAUGGGUCAAUCUGAAAGAGGUGCUACAUCAAUAUGUGGCCUGAACCUUUGGAGUCAGAUUUUAUUUAUGCUUCAUCAUCUAUAGGAACUUCAGUGCACGGUUCCUAGAAGCAUUUUCUGCAGCUUCUGGUUAGGGAUUACAACAUUUAUAUAAUUCAGAAUAAUCUGAUCCAUUGGUGACAUAUCUGUGCUAUUUGUGUACUUGGUUAUAAAAGUUAUAGAUUUGUAAAGAAAUGCUGCUCUCUACACUUAGUUAUUGGAAGUGAAAAGGCCUCUUGGUUUUUAAGCCAUCUCCCCAUUAAAGCUUCAGUCGAAUGGCUAUGUUUAAAACUUAUCCUUACAAUGCUGCCGAUGAAUUGAAGAGCCCAUCCAUAGCAGUCGGACAGAGUGAAGAGUGCACACUGCGAAAUACUUGUAUUUGAGAUUUUGCAGCUACCUUAUUUUGUGCUCAAAGCUUAAUACCAUAAAUAUAUUUCUGGGUGAGGGUGUAGAUUUUCCA
Molecule: long non-coding RNA, 1245 nt
Organism: Chenopodium quinoa (quinoa)
Lineage: Eukaryota; Viridiplantae; Streptophyta; Magnoliopsida; Caryophyllales; Amaranthaceae
Exons: 7
Source: RefSeq, a predicted model, not a curated record